Phasianus colchicus (ring-necked pheasant) is the source of this 845-nucleotide long non-coding RNA. RefSeq lists it as uncharacterized. NCBI's taxonomy places the organism in Eukaryota, Metazoa, Chordata, Aves, Galliformes, Phasianidae. The record is from RefSeq and is a predicted model, not a curated record.
AUGCAUUUUAGACAAAAAACCCAAAAGCAUACAAAAAGCAAGCAAAAUAGAUUCCUUGUAAUUUCUCUGAAUGUAUACUGUUUCACAAAGUGGUGAAAUUUUCAGGCAAGGGAAAAGAGAAAACGAUGAUAAUCUUAAAACACUACAAGAAAUUUUAAAUCCAUCCCAGUGAGAUAGCAACCUCUGCAGUUGAGCUGUAUGUAGGACUGCAUGAAUGCCCAUGUUUGAAAACUUUAUGACAGUAACAAAAUGGAUCCAGUAUGUACAACUGAAUGCAGUGCUAAUCAAACUUGGAUACAUUUGGAUUUGCAUGAGGGAAAAGCUGACAAGGCUGACUGAGCACAUCUGCUUAGCUGUUUCUUGCAGUUCCUGAGAAAUGACUCAAUAUUCAGUGAAGGCCAAAAUGCUGGAAUUGGAGAGUCAAUAUGGCAGCAAAAACUUUAGCUUCUCUAAUCAACUUGAAUAGAGAGGAUGCUCAUGCUUCUCAAAAAAGCAUUCAGGUUGAGGGCACCAGCUUCUUAUAACUGUUGAACUGCAGCAUUACCACUUAGCAGCACCUGAGCAACAUCCUGUCUGUGAGAAGAAAAGGCAACCAAGGCAUUUGACUUCAGCUAUGUGGAGGCUUUUCCAAAGUAUGUUAUGUUACCAGCAAGGCAUUCUUAAGCAUUAUUUUGCAAGCUUUGCAUAUCUCUUCAAACUAAUUUUUGAGACACACGCACGUUCUAAGUGUGCAGAGCUUUCAGAACUGAGGGUCAAAUCCAACUCUUGAUGCAGAAAGAGUGGUAGAAAUGCUGCUGCUGUAGUCUUCCCAUGUGAAUAAAUGGGGUUUCAUUUGUUUUGUUUGC